AACCCGGCUCUUUUAAGAGCCACCAAAUCUAUGAAAGAAUAUGAG
Molecule: non-coding RNA, 45 nt
Filed under: Paramuricea clavata
Lineage: Eukaryota; Metazoa; Cnidaria; Anthozoa; Malacalcyonacea; Plexauridae
Rfam family: Histone 3' UTR stem-loop
About the family: The mRNAs of metazoan histone genes lack a poly-A tail. 3' end processing occurs at a site between a highly conserved stem-loop (modelled by this family) and a purine rich region around 20 nts downstream (the histone downstream element, or HDE). The stem-loop is bound by a 31 kDa stem-loop binding protein (SLBP - also termed the histone hairpin binding protein, or HBP).
Source: RNAcentral